GACUUUGCGCAGUGGCGGUACCGUAGCCAAUGAAGUUUAUCUGAGGCGCGGUUAUUGCUAGUUGAAAACUACUCCCAAUACCUCUUACUGAGGUUAUCUACAAUGUUUUCUAUGUUUAAUAUACUGAUUUUAAUUAUCCGUAGGUUCAUUAUGUAUACAUGGAGUUAUUGAUAAUUA
RNAcentral lists this small nuclear RNA (177 nucleotides) under Schistosoma japonicum. The stretch from base 1 to 136 matches the Rfam family "U4 spliceosomal RNA". From Rfam's summary of the family: U4 small nuclear RNA (U4 snRNA) is a component of the major U2-dependent spliceosome. The record is from RNAcentral. Lineage: Eukaryota; Metazoa; Platyhelminthes; Trematoda; Strigeidida; Schistosomatidae.